This 253-nucleotide ribosomal RNA is filed under the name Roseburia faecis M72/1. RNAcentral describes it as "partial 16S ribosomal RNA". It matches the Rfam family "Bacterial small subunit ribosomal RNA", at positions 524 to 776 of the family's 1533-position model. Lineage: Bacteria; Bacillati; Bacillota; Clostridia; Lachnospirales; Lachnospiraceae. The record is from RNAcentral.
UACGUAUGGUGCAAGCGUUAUCCGGAUUUACUGGGUGUAAAGGGAGCGCAGGCGGUGCGGCAAGUCUGAUGUGAAAGCCCGGGGCUUAACCCCGGUACUGCAUUGGAAACUGUCGUACUAGAGUGUCGGAGGGGUAAGUGGAAUUCCUAGUGUAGCGGUGAAAUGCGUAGAUAUUAGGAGGAACACCAGUGGCGAAGGCGGCUUACUGGACGAUAACUGACGCUGAGGCUCGAAAGCGUGGGGAGCAAACAGG